This 191-nucleotide non-coding RNA is filed under the name Amorphochlora amoebiformis. The record is from RNAcentral. Lineage: Eukaryota; Cercozoa; Chlorarachniophyceae.
UCUAUAUCACGAUCUCUUUUUCUUUUUUUUUAAUUUUAUUUUUUUCUUUUUCUCUCCGAAGAAAGAGAAACUUUUAAAGAGGAGGGGGAUAAGGAGUAAAGAGAAGGAAUAAUAGAGGGGAGGGGGUUUUGUGAGUGUUCUAAAGUUCUUGUGUUUUUACUUCAAGGAGAGAAAAAAAAAAAAAAAAAAAA